AUAUUUUAAGAGCGACGGGCGGUUUGUACACAAAGCAUUUCCUGUCAUCAAAUCACCUAAAUUUUACUUUUAAAUCCACCUUCAAUAAAAAUUUUCAUUUUAAAUUUCGUGCUUGCUCAAUUCAAAUGUAACCCACCUCAGACUUCCUCAUUAGCUGCACCUUUACUUGAAGUUAAUACUUUUUAUAUUAUUGAUAGAUUUCUAAAGAAACUAACUGACAACAGCGGUAUACAAACUGAAAACAAGAGAAAGUACAGUGACUCGUGGACCAUCGAUUAAAGGGCAGGUUCCUCUAAAAGGCUGCUUUGCCGCCAAAUCCGUUAAAUUUCAUUAUUUAUAUUAAUCUGGGAACUAAGAAAUUAGUAACAGGGUAUCUAAUCCUGGUUCUUUUCAAUUUUUAAAAGUUUACAAACCUAAUUUUUUAAUAAAAUUUAAGAUUCUACCCUAUAAAGUCAACAAAAAAAGACCUCACUUUGUAAACCCUUCCCCAUAAAAUAAUUUUAACCUAGAAUUUAU
Molecule: ribosomal RNA, 516 nt
Filed under: Heteralepas gettysburgensis
Lineage: Eukaryota; Metazoa; Arthropoda; Thecostraca; Heteralepadidae
Description: partial 12S ribosomal RNA
Source: RNAcentral